CAUAAAAAGGAGUACAAAAAAAAAAAAAAAAAGGAGGAGACGUAAACACUUUCUUGGAGACAGUGACAGUCACUUUAAUAUGCAUUUCCACUGUGUUCCGUAGAGAGAAAGUAGAGGAGGCUGACGCUGCGGGCUUGUUUGUCCAUCCGUUCCUGCAUCCCUUUAAAGCAUCUGCUCUGCCUUCAGAGGACUCAGUAGCGCUGCUCGACUCAGAUGGGAGGAUGUGAUCAGACGUCAGGGGAAGUUUCCCGGAAAAGGCUUAAACUACUAGAAGCCAUUAUUCAAGGAAAAUGUGAGAUCUUUUUCUUUAGAGGUUAAGACAGCUCGUUUCUCUGAAGUGAUCUCAUUGUGUUUGUUCCUGAUAGUAUGUGACUGCCCUAGAAGUUUGCUGAUGGCCUCUUCUGGUCCUGAGAUCAGAUGAUUCUAGACUGAUAGGAGCAAAGAUCUAGAGGAGUGCUUUCCCAGGCAGCGUUAAGGCAUUACUCCCUCGUGUUUUCUAGUGCUAAUGGCGGCAGUUCUCUCAGAGAAAGGGGGCCAGGCCCCACAUAGCCCGCAUGACUGAUGCCCACCUUGGUUGUGUUCAGAUCCUUCAUCCUUUUUAAGGAUAGCUUUGGCCUCCGAUGGGCCAGGCUCUCCACUCUUCUUUGGGAUUGCCCACACCAUCGUGCCAUUGUUUGGCUCCUCCUGAGCAGGGCUCACACUUCAUCAAGUCAUAACUAUUUUCUAUUUUCAGGAGAAAAAUGGACAGUGCCUGAAAUAUGAUCAUUGUCUCUAACAUGUCCAACAGGCUUGGGAGAAAACGCCAGGGCUUCCCCCUUCUUCACUCCAGCCACAUUGGCUUUUUCCUGGUUCUUUCCCGAAUGUCCUUUCUCAGGCCAAAAUGCUCUCCCCCGGCUGGCUCUUCAAACAACUGGCUUCUUCUCCCUCAGGUUUGGGCUCAGCUGCUGUAGCCUCAGAGCAGCGAGCCCUGACUUCAUGAUCUACAGGAGCACCUUGCUCGUUUACUGAGGUCUAACAGCACGCUUCUCAUUUCCUUUUUAGCAACUCCCUCAAUUUGAAACGAAUUAACUAACUUUACACAUGCGCCUGCACGUGCAAAAACAUUGGUACAUACUUUGCAUGUAUAUGUUUGUCUACUUAUCGUUGGUCUCCUUCACUAGACUCCAAGGUCCCUGAAAGCAAGGAAUAUGUGCGUUUGUUUCAUAUCCAGAGUUAAGCACACAGUAGGAGACCUCUGUACAUUCACUGAAUGAAUGAAUGAAUACCCAUAAGCCCCUCACAAGGGAACACUGAAGCUCCAUGGUCUACACCUGAGCUGUCCAGCACGGCGGCCACCACCACAGGUGGCCACUGGGCACUUGAGACAAGGCUCACCCAAACUGGAAUGCACCAGAAGUGUAAAAUAUCCCCCAAACUUCAAAGAGUUAGUACAAAAAAGCAUGUAAAAUAUCACAUUAAUAAUUUUUAGAUUGAUUACACAUUUAAAUAAUAUCUUAGAUAUAUUGAGUUAAAUGAAAUGUAGAAUUUGGUAUUAAAAUUAAUUUCAUCUGUUCUUUGUACUUCCUUCAGUGUGGGUGCUAGAAGACAUGAACUCGCGUAUGUGGCUCAGGCCGUAUUUCUGCUGGCCAGCGCCGGCCAGUCCGCUGCGGGAGUGCUCAGGAAGUCAAGGUGUUACCUCUAGAUGUUGUUUAAUCAGUUAAAAGAGUAACUUCUCCCCCGUAUUUACUGACUAGGACUCGAGUCCUGGGUUUGCCUAUAACUCACUGAGGGUUCAGGCCUGAGUCACCUUCUCCAGGGACCCUGGUUCUCUUGUGUGACAAAGUAGCGACUGAAUUAGACUGUGUCAGAGGAUCCUUUCAGCUCCAACACUAUGCGAUUCUGCCAUUAAUUGCCUAUUCAGGGUAAGGACAGCAGAGAAAUCUUCUUCUGGGACUGAUAUAUUUUAUAACCCCUGUUCCCUUUUCCUUAUCUUGGCCUUCAAAUGUCCCCUUUAUGUAAACACAGUCAAAGAUAAAAUUUAACAAAACCUCUGUUUUCCUGGACUCAAUGUAGCCAAAGCUGCUGCAAAUAAUAAUUUGUUAAUCAGACUCAAAGAGGUGGUUUAGCUGGAUUUCCAGAGCUGCCUUCAAGGAAGCUGCUGAUUUUUCCGCAUGUGUUCACAGACACCAGGCGCUGGGAGGCCUGACGCGCGGCAUCUUGUCCAUCUGGCCAUUGGAGCUCCAUGCUGCGACGGCCGCGCAGAGGAGCUGGGUCCAGAGCGCCCGGCGCAUCUGCCGUAUCGCGGACUCGACGCCAGCAUCACUGCUGCAUGGAUUCAGACUGGGAUAGACUGCUCCCGAAAUUUGACUUGGAGAAGAAAGCGUGACGUGCACUUCCUGUGUGUGGCAGUCCGCGAGCCGUCCCCGGGCGCCCUCCUCCCGCCUCCACCACUUUGCGCCUGGCUUUCUCUUUGCCCGGAGGAGCCCUCCUCCCGCCUCCACUGGUGAAAUCCUCCUCCGUCCUCACUGCCCAGUUCAAGUCCUCGUCCUCUUUCCGGGCUUCCUGGUUCUCCAGAUGGGAAAAGAGGUGCUCCUAAUCCACGCUCUCGCAGGAGAAGCAGAGCAAGCGCGCAGGGAGUGCUGACUGUCCAUGAGACAUCAUCGGGAUUUCUAGCUGGCGUUUCCUAGAAUCACCUUCCAAAUGAACCACCUGUACUUGAAUGGUGGUUUGAGCGCUGGUGUCUGGAGGAACCAAAACUAAGACAAUGGCUGUAUCAAGAGUCUGAAGAAUGAAGUCAUGGUCGGAGUCUGAGUCAUGCUUCAGAACUGUUUACUGAGAGAAAAGUGCUUCUGAUGGAAGCUCACGCACCAGUGAGGUUGGGGAGCACGAGAAAGUGAGAACAGAAUGGGGCUGAAGGAAAGGACAGGAAAGGAGAAGGGGUUACUUCAACAAGUUGGUUCUGCCGGAGGCUCAGGAACGUGGAGAAGCAGUUUGAGGUGUGCAGAGGAGAAAUGCACAGAAGGCCAGGAAGCCCGACACUAGAUCACUGCCUCCUGGGAAAUCAUGAAAUCUGAUUAAAACAGACACCGUAAGGGCUCUUUUUGUGCUAUGCACUUUUCUUCCUGGGGAAUUUGCAUAUUCCCUGAUAAAAAGAUAGAUAUAAAGUGUCCUGAAGAAUAUUAAGAAGUAAACCGUAGUACAACGCCUUUAGUUUUGAAUAGUAAGAACUCUGUUUCCUCAUUUCCUUUGGAAAUCUAACAAAAUAUUCCUUAUGAAAAAUUUUUGAGGAUAAGCACUUAAAAGACAUUGCUACAAGCUGUGCUCCUAAUGUUUUCUUAUCAUUUUUUACCUACAUGGAAAGCAUACAGAUCACCAUGACGGCCCCGUAGCUGCCAAGUGAAAGGGUGUUAAGAUGAUUUUGACCCUCUACAUUGAAUGUGCUGUCAUCUUUACUGUAAAAGAAAUUACCUAGACUCAAAUCAUUAUCCAGAAGUCACUAAAUCUUUUGACAUAAAAUGGCAAAAUCUUUUAAGAAUAAAUGAUAUAGCAAGACCAAGGAUAAACUGAGUUCAACAAAAAUCAAUUGCUGUGAAAUCUAGUUUGUCUAUUUUGAUUUUGUCUAUUUCCUUGUCUUUCUCCUGGGGAGAGGAGCAGAUUUUGUACCUAAACCAAAGAUGGGGACACCACUGGUGAAGCCGUUCUUUUGUCUUCUUCCCGCAACGCAUGCCUCUGCUUGAACCUCUUCCCUCCCAGGUCUGAGGUGGGAGCUUGGGGACCCCAGGGUCCUAAGGGAAUGACAAUUGUGGCAUUCAUCUCUGGGAGGACAGGGGG
This is a long non-coding RNA of Equus caballus (horse), 3810 nucleotides long. RefSeq lists it as uncharacterized. The record is from RefSeq and is a predicted model, not a curated record. Lineage: Eukaryota; Metazoa; Chordata; Mammalia; Perissodactyla; Equidae.